AUGACACAGAGCCCGGGCUGGAAACAGCAUCUCUUACUCCACCCAGGUUUGAGCUUUCUCAGGGCUGAGGCAUUUCAGGCGAUGUUGCACAACCACCGCCAGAACACCCUGACCCCGGCGCUGCCCCAAAGCCGUGCAGGGAUGCUCCCAGAGAAUCAGUGCUCCCUGGGCACCAUGCAGCCAUCCCAGGGAUGCUCAUCCCACAGACUUGAGCCCCUUUUCUUCCCUUUUCCAGCCCCCUGGCCAGGUGUUUCGGAGCAGGGACGGGCCGGGGUUUCCGAGGGCGGGGGGUUGUUGACACCCCGAGCCCGUUCCUGCGGAUGUGCCUCUUGCAGCACCUUCCUGCGGCUGCGGCUGCGCCUCCUGCCCCAGAGCCUGCGGUUGGGGGCUUUCCUGUCGUGCCAAUGCCACGAGGCCGGGGCAACACCCAGGACAAUACCAGGCAGCCCCCCCGAGAGCCCCUCCGAGCAUCUUGGGGUUGGNNNNNNNNNNNNNNNNNNNNNNNNNNNNNNNNNNNNNNNNNNNNNNNNNNNNNNNNNCGCUUUUCCGCGCUCCCUCCCUUCCCCGCCCGGCCGGAGGUGCAGGCGGAGGGUGGCCCACGACGCCCCGCGGUGCCGGUGCUCGGGCUGCCCUGCCCCCCCCGUGCCAGCCCUCGCCGGUGAAUCCUGCAGCUGGGAUCCCACCGCGUCCAUCGGCACAGGUCCCAUGGCGCUGGGCCGAGCCCUGCUGGUGCUGCUGGUGCUGAGCCCCCUGUGGGCCUGUGGGGCUGAGCUGCUGGAGCCGGGGCUGCCCUGGGGAGGGCAGUGGGUCUGGGGGGAGGCCAAGCCCCUGCACCUUUCCCGUGGGAAGAGGGAUGACCGUGGGCAGGAGCCCAGUGCCACCGCAAUGAUCAACAGUGACGAGAGCAAUGGUGUCUCUGUGCCACCACCAGCACCUGGCACCAAGGCCAGCCUGCUGCAGGUGCCAACCACAGCUGAUCCCAGGGAUGAUUCCCCCAAGCCUGAGCUGCUCCUGAGCUCUGCAGCACCAGUGCCAAGCACCAACACCAGCCUGCUCCGGGUGCUUGCAGUGUCCACCACAGCUGAGCCUAUGGAUGAGACAGAUUCCCCUAAACCCGACCUGUUGGAGGACUCUGUGACAUCAACAGUGACCAGUGCCAGCACCAGCCUGCUCCGAGUGUCUGUAGUGCCCACCACAACUGCUCCCAUGGAUGAGACAGAUCCCCCUGAUCCCGACCUGCUCCUAAGCUCUGCCCCACCACCAGCACCAGGCACGGAGGCCAGACGGGCACUCGUGGAGCCAACCACAGCUGAUACCAUGGAUGAGACUGAUUCCCCUGCUCCCGAUCUGCUGCCAGGCUCAGAACUCGGCACACCAUCAGCAGCCCAAAAGAGCAUCGCCACCACCACCCCCAGCUGGCUCACGGCACCCAUCGAGGAGGGCACAGCGACUGACGACCUGGACAGCAGCUCCUCCACGGGGCCACGCUCAACAGCCCCCCCAGCCCUUGUCCUCACCAGCACGGGCUACAAGAAACCCAAGAAAUCCGGAGCUCCGCCUGCAUCCACCCUCCCGGCCACUUGGGACACGACGCCGGUGAGCACCGCGGUGCCCUGGGAGCCCAGCGGGGUGAUGAGCAAGUGCCUGCUGGCCAUCCUGCUGCUGGGGCUGGUGGCCGCCACCUUCCUGGUGUGCACGGGCGUGCUGGGGACGCUGCUGUGGCGGCGGGCGCGGACGGGAGAGCGGCGGUUCAGCCGCACCGAGAUGGUUUGUAUCUCCUCGCUGCUGCCCGACGCCGAGGCGGCCGCCGGCCCCGUCCUGUCCCAGCCCCGCGGCACAAGCUGCUGCUGCCCGACGGCAGCUCCGAGCCCGAUGGAGACAACCUGA
Molecule: long non-coding RNA, 1887 nt
Filed under: Serinus canaria (Common canary)
Lineage: Eukaryota; Metazoa; Chordata; Aves; Passeriformes; Fringillidae
Description: lncRNA (ENSSCAG00000007166.1)
Source: RNAcentral